RNAcentral lists this ribosomal RNA (443 nucleotides) under uncultured Synechococcus sp. RNAcentral's name for it is "bacterial SSU rRNA". It matches the Rfam family "Bacterial small subunit ribosomal RNA", at positions 338 to 795 of the family's 1533-position model. The record is from RNAcentral. Lineage: Bacteria; Bacillati; Cyanobacteriota; Cyanophyceae; Synechococcales; Synechococcaceae.
CCUACGGGUGGCAGCAGUGGGGAAUUUUCCGCAAUGGGCGAAAGCCUGACGGAGCAACGCCGCGUGCGGGAGGAAGGCCUUAGGGUUGUAAACCGCUUUUAUCAGGGAAGAACACAAUGACGGUACCUGAUGAAUAAGCCUCGGCUAAUUCCGUGCCAGCAGCCGCGGUAAUACGGGAGAGGCGAGCGUUAUCCGGAAUUAUUGGGCGUAAAGCGUCCGCAGGUGGUCAAUUAAGUCUGUCGUCAAAACGUGGAGCUCAACUCCAUACUCGCGAUGGAAACUGAUUGACUAGAGUACGGUAGGGGUAGCGGGAAUUCCAGGUGUAGCGGUGAAAUGCGUAGAUAUCUGGAAGAACACCAGCGACGAAAGUGCGCUACUGGGCCUGUACUGACACUCAUGGACGAAAGCCAGGGGAGCGAAAGGGAUUAGAUACCCUAGUAGUC